UACGAGGGGGGCAAGCGUUGUUCGGAAUUAUUGGGCGUAAAGGGUGCGUAGGCGGUCUGAUAAGUCAUCUGUGAAAUCUAUGGGCUCAACCCAUAGUCUGCAGGCGAAACUGUCGGGCUUGAGUAUGGGAGAGGUGAGUGGAAUUUCCGGUGUAGCGGUGAAAUGCGUAGAUAUCGGAAGGAACACCUGUGGCGAAAGCGGCUCACUGGACCGCAACUGACGCUGAGGCGCGAAAGCUAGGGGGCAAACAGG
This 252-nucleotide ribosomal RNA is filed under the name uncultured bacterium. RNAcentral's name for it is "partial 16S ribosomal RNA". It matches the Rfam family "Bacterial small subunit ribosomal RNA", at positions 524 to 776 of the family's 1533-position model. The record is from RNAcentral.